ACGGGAGGCAGCAGUGGGGGAUUUUGCACAAUGGGGGAAACCCUGAUGCAGCGACGCCGCGUGAGUGAAGAAGUAUUUCGAUAUGUAAAGCUCUAUCAGCAGGGAAGAAAAUGACGGUACCUGACUAAGAAGCACCGGCUAAAUACGUGCCAGCAGCCGCGGUAAUACGUAUGGUGCAAGCGUUAUCCGGAUUUACUGGGUGUAAAGGGUGCGUAGGUGGCAUGGCAAGUCUGAAGUGAAAUGCGGGGGCUCAACCCCUGAACUGCUUUGGAAACUGUCAAGCUUGAGUACAGGAGAGGAAAGCGGAAUUCCUAGUGUAGCGGUGAAAUGCGUAGAUAUUAGGAGGAACACCAGUGGCGAAGGCGGCUUUCUGGACUGUAACUGACACUGAGGCUCGAAGGUGCGGGUAUCAAACAGGAUUAGAUACCCUGGUA
RNAcentral lists this ribosomal RNA (434 nucleotides) under uncultured Lachnospiraceae bacterium. RNAcentral describes it as "partial 16S ribosomal RNA". It matches the Rfam family "Bacterial small subunit ribosomal RNA", at positions 341 to 792 of the family's 1533-position model. The record is from RNAcentral. Lineage: Bacteria; Bacillati; Bacillota; Clostridia; Lachnospirales; Lachnospiraceae.